Molecule: RNA transcript, 1326 nt
Organism: Medicago truncatula (barrel medic)
Lineage: Eukaryota; Viridiplantae; Streptophyta; Magnoliopsida; Fabales; Fabaceae
Gene name: transcription factor IIIA-like
Exons: 6
Source: RefSeq, a predicted model, not a curated record
UAGUAGCCUCAUUCAUUCACUCUUCAAAUCGAACCCCUCAAUUUCCCCAACAAUUCCUUCUAUCAACAAUGGAAGAAUCAAUCCAAAGUGAUGAAAUCCCAAAAUUCAGAGAUAUUAGACGCUAUUACUGCCAAUUCUGCGGCAUCUGUAGAUCCAAAAAACCCUAAUUACCUCACACAUCAAUUCCGAACAUAAGGAGGAGAUGGAGAAAGCAAGAGUUGAAACUGAACCUGAAUCAUUAGAGGGUGGUUUGAAAGCUAAUACUUGUGAGGAAUGUGGUGCUAGUUUUAAAAAACAUGCUUAUUUGCUGCAGCAUAUGCAAAGCCAUUCCCUUGAGAGGCCAUUUGUAUGCAGCCUUGAAGAUUGUAAGGCGAGCUACAGAAGAAAGGAUCAUCUGAAUCGUCACCUUCUACAACAUCAAGGGAAAACUUUUAAAUGUCCUAUUGAGAAUUGCAAAAGUGGCUUCUCAUUGCAAAGCAAUUUGAAAAGACAUGUUGAAGAGAUGCAUGAUGAGAAUUCUACCCCUCCUUGUAGUGGUGAAAAUCAGAAGCAGUUUGUAUGUCCUGAAAUUGGCUGUGGAAAGGUUUUCAGAUAUGCAUCACAACUACAGAAGCAUGAAGAUUCUCAUGUUAGGCUCGAAACAAUUGAAGUGGUGUGCUUAGAGCCCGGUUGCAUGAAAUUUUUCACUAAUUCCGAGUGCCUUAAAGCUCAUGUUAAAUCCUGCCAUCAAUAUGUGACCUGCGACACUUGUGGGACUAAGCAACUGAAGAAGAAUAUGAAGAGGCAUCUCCGCACACAUGAAGCCAGCAAUUCAUCCGAAGCAUUUAAAUGUGAAUUUGAGGGUUGUGACAGCACAUUCUCAACUAAAUCUAAUCUUCAUAAGCAUGAGAAGGCUGUACACUUUCAAGUAAAGCCGUUUGUGUGUGGAUUUCCUAAUUGUGGAAUGAGAUUUGCUUACAAACACGUGAGAGAUAAUCAUGAAAAGACUGCAAAACAUGCUUUUGCCCUUGGUGAUUUUGAAGAAGCUGAUGAAGAAUUCAGGUCAAGGCCAAGGGGAGGGGUGAAGAGAAAAUGUCCUCCCACAGUAGAAAUGUUGGUUAGGAAGAGAGUUAUCCCACCUAGUCAAUUAGAGAACUUGUUAUUUGUGCAGGAUUGUCAGUAAGAUGGAUGGAUCAUAUGUGGUGACCUGGUUUGGUUGAUUGUAUUGCGUAGAGAUUAUAUAUUUAGGAUUAUGAUCAGUAUUACACUUAAGAUAAAUGUAUAGUCAUGAAUGAUGGUCUUUUUUUUUUUUUUAAUAUAUAAAUGAGGAAUUAUGAUUGACAGUUA